GACGAACGCUGGCGGCGUGCUUAACACAUGCAAGUCGAACGGAAAGGCCCUGCUUUUGUGGGGUGCUCGAGUGGCGAACGGGUGAGUAACACGUGAGUAACCUGCCCUUGACUUUGGGAUAACUUCAGGAAACUGGGGCUAAUACCGGAUAGGAGCUCCUGCGGCAUGGUGGGGGUUGGAAAGUUUCGGCGGUUGGGGAUGGACUGGCGGCUUAUCAGCUUGUUGGUGGGGUGGGGGCUUACCAAGGCAUUGAAGGGUAGCCGGCCUGGGAGGGUGACCGGCCACAUUGGGACUGAGAUACGGCCCAGACUCCUACGGGAGGCAGCAGUGGGGAAUAUUGCACAAUGGGCGGAAGCCUGAUGCAGCAACGCCGCGUGCGGGAUGACGGCCUUCGGGUUGUAAACCGCUUUCGCCUGUGACGAAGCGUGAGUGACGGUAAUGGGUAAAGAAGCACCGGCUAACUACGUG
RNAcentral lists this ribosomal RNA (468 nucleotides) under uncultured bacterium. RNAcentral's name for it is "partial 16S ribosomal RNA". It matches the Rfam family "Bacterial small subunit ribosomal RNA", at positions 28 to 507 of the family's 1533-position model. The record is from RNAcentral.